CGCACAAAGUCCAACAUUUUGUUCCUAUUUCCUCGCAUCCCCACAGUCUGCCAGCGCAGCCCUGACAAAGGGAAGGAAAAACUCCCUUUUAACAGGAAGAAACCUCCAGGAGAACCAGGCUCGGGGAGGAGCAACUAGCUACUACGACUGGUUGGGGUAAGAGGAGGAAGACAGGACAAAAGACAUGCUGUGGAAGAGAGCCAUUAACAGAUUGUGAGGAAGAAAGGGGCUAUGACACCAAUAGAGUAAAUUCACAGACUCCGCCCCCAGCACGGCUCCAAUCAAAGCUGAAGUGAAGCCGUUUCAGAACAUUUUGCUCUACAUAUUUGAGUUGUUUGCCAUGCUUGGAUAUGCUUGUGAAGAUGGAAUAUGGGGGAGAGCAGAAGUGCGUUGAAGUUCCACAGAGGGAUGAAUGAAGGACAUGCAUAUUGUAUUGAAGAAAUAAGUGAUGAGAUGCUGUUAUUUGCAUUUACCAUGUCAGACCUUUUGAUAAACACAAUUCUAAUGAAAGUGAGAACAUGUAUACUGUUACAUCUUUCAGAAAAUGUUUUGAAAU
Long non-coding RNA from Astatotilapia calliptera (eastern happy), 556 nucleotides. NCBI's taxonomy places the organism in Eukaryota, Metazoa, Chordata, Actinopteri, Cichliformes, Cichlidae. The record is from Ensembl.